RNAcentral lists this ribosomal RNA (320 nucleotides) under Typopeltis crucifer. Its description in RNAcentral is "partial 12S ribosomal RNA". The record is from RNAcentral. Lineage: Eukaryota; Metazoa; Arthropoda; Arachnida; Uropygi; Thelyphonidae.
GGGUAAUAUAUGAUGAACAUGAAACUUAAUAAUAUUGGCGGCAUUCUAUCUAACCAGAGGAACUUGUCCUUUAAUUGAUAAUCCACAUUACUUUUAACUUUUCUUAAAUGUUUGUAUACCUCCGUCAUAAGAUGAUUUUUAAAAAUAUUAUCAGAAAAUUAAUUUUCAUGUCAGGUCAAGGUUCAACUAAUGGAAGAGUCUGAGAUGAGUUACAAUAAAGGUAAUUUAUACAAAUUAAGUUCACAAAUGAAUUUAAGAAGGUGGAUUUGGUAGUAAUUAUGGAAAUAAUAAUCUAUUUUAAAUAUAGUUAUAAAAUGUGU